UCCCUGAUGGUCCAGUAGUUAAAACUCCAUGCUUGCACUGCAGAGGGCACAGGUUCAAACCCUGUUUGGGGAA
RNAcentral lists this transfer RNA (73 nucleotides) under Bos taurus (domestic cattle). It matches the Rfam family "tRNA". Rfam says of the family: Transfer RNA (tRNA) molecules are approximately 80 nucleotides in length. Their secondary structure includes four short double-helical elements and three loops (D, anti-codon, and T loops). Further hydrogen bonds mediate the characteristic L-shaped molecular structure. tRNAs have two regions of fundamental functional importance: the anti-codon, which is responsible for specific mRNA codon recognition, and the 3' end, to which the tRNAs corresponding amino acid is attached (by aminoacyl-tRNA synthetases). tRNAs cope with the degeneracy of the genetic code in two manners: having more than one tRNA (with a specific anti-codon) for a particular amino acid; and 'wobble' base-pairing, i.e. permitting non-standard base-pairing at the 3rd anti-codon position. RNAcentral also lists the same sequence under 4 other names. Lineage: Eukaryota; Metazoa; Chordata; Mammalia; Artiodactyla; Bovidae. The record is from Rfam by way of RNAcentral.